This 412-nucleotide ribosomal RNA is filed under the name uncultured bacterium. Its description in RNAcentral is "bacterial SSU rRNA". It matches the Rfam family "Bacterial small subunit ribosomal RNA", at positions 123 to 518 of the family's 1533-position model. The record is from RNAcentral.
GACCUGCCCUCGAGAUGGGGAUAGCCAUUAGAAAUAGUGGAUAAUACCGAAUACCGCUCAUGACCCUGUGGGGAUAUGAGGAAAAACAGGCUACGGCCUGGCUCGAGGAUGGGCCCGCAUCCCAUUAGCUAGUUGGUGAGGUAACGGCCCACCAAGGCGACGAUGGGUAUCCGGCCUGAGAGGGUGUACGGACACAUUGGGACUGAGAUACGGCCCAAACUCCUACGGGAGGCAGCAGCUAAGAAUAUUCCGCAAUGGACGAAAGUCUGACGGAGCGACGCCGCGUGGAUAGAAGAAGGCCGGAAGGUUAGUAAAAUUCCUUUUGCUGAUGAAGAAUAAGUGUGGUAGGGAAUGACCGCAUGAUGACAUUAGUCGGUGAAUAAGCCCCGGCUAACUACGUGCCAGCCGCGGC